CAGCAGCCGCGGUAAUACGGAGGGUGCAAGCGUUAAUCGGAAUUACUGGGCGUAAAGCGCACGCAGGCGGUUUGUUAAGUCAGAUGUGAAAUCCCCGGGCUCAACCUGGGAACUGCAUUUGAAACUGGCAAGCUAGAGUCUCGUAGAGGGGGGUAGAAUUCCAGGUGUAGCGGUGAAAUGCGUAGAGAUCUGGAGGAAUACCGGUGGCGAAGGCGGCCCCCUGGACGAAGACUGACGCUCAGGUGCGAAAGCGUGGGGAGCAAACAGGAUUAGAUACCCCUGUAGUCCCUGUCUCUUAUAC
RNAcentral lists this ribosomal RNA (301 nucleotides) under uncultured bacterium. RNAcentral's name for it is "partial 16S ribosomal RNA". It matches the Rfam family "Bacterial small subunit ribosomal RNA", at positions 509 to 807 of the family's 1533-position model. The record is from RNAcentral.